CAGUCGCCGCGGUAAAACGGAGGGGGCUAGCGUUGUUCGGAAUUACUGGGCGUAAAGCGCACGUAGGCGGCUUGGUAAGUUAGAGGUGAAAGCCUGGAGCUCAACUCCAGAAUUGCCUUUAAGACUGCCGAGCUAGCAGGUGAGAGAGGUAAGUGGAAUUCCGAGUGUAGAGGUGAAAUUCGUAGAUAUUCGGAAGAACACCAGCGGCGAAGGCGGCUUACUGGCUCAUACUGGACGCUGAGGUGCGAAAGCGUGGGGAGCAAACAGGAUUAGAUACCCCCGUAGUCCCUGUCUCUUAUAC
Molecule: ribosomal RNA, 301 nt
Filed under: uncultured bacterium
Lineage: Bacteria
Description: partial 16S ribosomal RNA
Rfam family: Bacterial small subunit ribosomal RNA
Source: RNAcentral